Molecule: long non-coding RNA, 1888 nt
Organism: Asparagus officinalis (garden asparagus)
Lineage: Eukaryota; Viridiplantae; Streptophyta; Magnoliopsida; Asparagales; Asparagaceae
Exons: 5
Source: RefSeq, a predicted model, not a curated record
ACACACACACACAAGCGUCCCACUCGGAUCCGUGUAGCCCGCUUCUCAAAUGAACCCGAACCCGUGCCCGCCACCAUCUACCCCCUAGCAACCGACCCGGAUGAUAAAAUGCUGGAGAUCAGCGGGAGCUUCAACUCGCUGUUGCAGUCGAGUGGGCAGUUUGGGGAUUUGAACUUUCUUGAUGGGUUCGAUUCGGGUGCGGGCUCGGGUGAGAUCACGAACCCGGCUCUGGAUCCGCAGGAGGCUUAAAAAGAUGAGUUUUUUAAUCCUUUCAAUGUUUAGUUUGUGGUUUAGAUGGGUAUACCUAGUUUGGGUCUGAAUAAUUUUUCGGUUUGAUGUAUGUAUGACAAUCUUAAUAUUAGUUUAAGCAUGUUCAGAUCAAUGCCCUGUUGUUUAUAUUCUCUUUUACUCUGGGUUUAAAUUUGAAGUGAAUUUAUAUACUUUACAUCGAUUAGUUACUUAUUAUCUCCAUAUUCCUCUUCAUUACCAUUUAGAUAUUGUGUUUGUCCUUAGAUUCUCUCUCCUACCAAGAUCUUGCUUUGGUUACAAAUCUAGAGAAAACCCAAAGUUUUGAAGUGUUAUGUUUCUAUUUUUGGAAAGAUUUGGAGGGAAGUGUGAAAGAGUUUAAUUGACUGAUAUAGCUUUUGUUGUUUGCUGAUAAUUAUUGCUUCGGUUGAGGGGAAGCAAUUAAUGACUUUGAAUUUAUUUCCCAAGGUGAUCUUAGCAUUUUUAAAGAAUUAUGCAAAUUCAUAAGCGCUUUGCUACCUUUUAUUGAUUCAUGAUGGCGUGCUCAUAUGGACUUUACAAUUUACGCUUGAAAAUGUUGCAUGCACCUUUUUUAAUGGCAGAUGUAUAGUUUUCUUCAUGAUUUUAAUGGUCUUUACACAGCUUGUGAUUUAAAUCAAGCAGUUUAGAGACCAUUUGUCGAUACAAGUGCAAUUUGAAUGGUUUCUUAAACAAGACGAGAUGGUGAAUGUUAAUUUGAAUGGUUUCUUAAACAAGACCGUUUGGUGGAUGUGCAAGAACACCUAAAUUGUAUGCUUUCUUCUUCAUAAGCAUGUGGAGGCCAAACAUGUGUUUUAGAAUGUAAUAUAUGAAUUUGUAGAUUGUCAAUAACAUAUCAAGAUUCCUUGUGAGGGUAUCCCUACAUGUAUGACACAAAAUGAUCUCAAAAGAGGAAUCAGGUUAUGACACUUUGAUAAUCAAAGUGUUAUACAAACUAAAGUGAAAGAGGACACAUGACUCUUGCUUAAUAUUUUUGAAUAAAACAAUUGUAUGUUUGCCCAUCUAACGGAGUCAUGUUGCUAUGUUUUACAGAUUCAGUAGAUGGAUAAGCUCUUGGUAACCAAAUGAAUUCUGUUUUUUGUACAAAGAGCAAGCCAAAUUGUAAUGCUUGCCCAAUGAGAGGAGAGUGCAAACACUUUUGCAUGUUCAUUUGCCAGAUUUCUGAAGGCAAGAGGGUAUAAUGUUGACAAAGCAACUCAUGUGUGGUCAGACAUGCUCCAGUGGAGAAGUGACUUUGGUAUAGAUUCUAUUCUACAGGUACUGCUUGCUUUGGAAGAGAGGAUUGGGAAUCUAAGCACAGGUUUGUCUGAAGCCGAUAUCUCUAGGUAUAUAGUGGAGGCGACAUACCGUUCACCAAAUCAAGUUCAAGAUAAGGAAGAAGAGAAAUUGUGUAAUAUGCUUGGUAGGCCUCUUGUUGGUUUAGGGCUCAUUGUUCUACUUUGGAUUGCUAUCUUUCUUUCGAAGUGAAAAUGCUAUUGUCGACAAACUGAGCUCCUAUUUUAAAUCCAUGUUGACAUAUUGCUUGCACUAUAUUAUUUAUAUAGAUAUGUUGUAUUGCCAAACUGCAUGUUUGUUGUAUACAAAACAAACCAUUAAUGUUUAA